This 29-nucleotide non-coding RNA is filed under the name Mus musculus (house mouse). The record is from RNAcentral. Lineage: Eukaryota; Metazoa; Chordata; Mammalia; Rodentia; Muridae.
UUGUAGAUGACGUGGGAUCCGGUCCCUCA